CAAUGGCACUGCCCGGUAGCUAAAUGCGGAAGAGAUAAGUGCUGAAAGCAUCUAAGCACGAAACUUGCCCCGAGAUGAGUUCUCCCUGAGACUUAGAGUCUCCUGAAGGAACGUUGAAGACGACGACGUUGAUAGGCCGGGUGUGUAAGCGCAGCGAUGCGUUGAGCUAACCGGUACUAAUGAACCGUGAGGCUUAACCUU
This 201-nucleotide ribosomal RNA is filed under the name Salmonella enterica subsp. enterica serovar Infantis. RNAcentral's name for it is "partial 23S ribosomal RNA". It matches the Rfam family "Bacterial large subunit ribosomal RNA", at positions 2730 to 2925 of the family's 2925-position model. RNAcentral also lists the same sequence under 4 other names. Lineage: Bacteria; Pseudomonadati; Pseudomonadota; Gammaproteobacteria; Enterobacterales; Enterobacteriaceae. The record is from RNAcentral.